UACCUGGUUGAUUCUCCCAUUAGUCAUAUGCUUGUCUCAAAGAUUAAGCCAUGCAUGUCUAAGUAUAAGCAAUCUAUACUGUGAAACUGCGAACGGCUCAUUAAAUCAGUUAUAGUUUAUUUGAUGGUACCUUACUACAUGGAUAACUGUGGUAAUUCUAGAGCUAAUACAUGCCUAAAAGCCCCUUCACGGGGGUGUAUUUAUUAGAUAAAAGACCGUUGGGUUUCGGCCCUCUUGGUGAAUCAUGAUAACUGCUCGAAUCGCAUGGCCUUGCGCCGGCGAUGCUUCAUUCAAAUACCUGCCCUAUCAACUUUCGAUGGUAGGAUAGUGGCCUACCAUGGUUGCGACGGGUAACGGGGAAUUAGGGUUCGAUUCCGGAGAGAGAGCCUGAGAAACGGCUCUCAUGACUAAGGUCAGCAGCAGGCGCGCAAAUUAUCCACUCGCAACACGCGGAGAUAGUGACAAUAAAUAACAAUAGAGGGCUCUUUUGGGUCUUCUAAUUGGAAUGAGUACAAUCUAAAUCCCUUAACGAGGAUCAAUUGGAGGGCAAGUCUGGUGCCAGCAGCCGCGGUAAUUCCAGCUCCAAUAGCGUAUAUUAAAUUUGCUGUGGUUAAAAAGCUCGUAGUCGAACUUCGGCUUCCGCAGGCCGGUCCGCCUAUUUUGGGUGUGUACUGGACCCUGUGGAGGCUUCACUUCCUGGUGAACACGUCUGCCGUUUACUCGGUGGGCGUGGGAACCCGGACUUUUACUUUGAAUAAAUCAGAGUGUUCAAAGCAGGCAUGUUUGCCCGAAUGUUUCAGCAUGGAAUAAUAGAACAAGACGCGUGUCUCUAUUGGUCUUUUUAGAGGCACCGUAAUGAUGAAUAGGGGCGGUCGGGGGCAUUCGUAUUCAAUUGCUAGAGGUGAAAUUCUUGGAUUUAUUGAAGACGAACUACUGCGAAAGCAUUUGCCAAGGACGCUUUCAUUGAUCAAGAACGAAGGUCGGGGGAUCGAAAACGAUUAGAUACCGUUGUAGUCUCGACAGUAAACGAUGUGGAUCGGGGAUUGGUGAGGGUUUCAUUUUAUGACCUCAUCAGCACCCAAAGAGAAAUCUUGAAUAACACUCCAGGGGGAGUAUGGUCGCAAGGCUGAAAUUUAAAGGAAUUGACGGAAGGGCACCACCAGGAGUGGAGCCUGCGGCUUAAUUUGACUCAACACGGGGAAACUCACCAGGUCCAGACACAAUGAGGAUUGACAGAUUGAUAGCUCUUUCUUGAUCUUGUGGUUGGUGGUGCAUGGCCGUUCUUAGUUGGUGGAGUGAUUUGUCUGGUUAAUUCCGAUAACGAACGAGACCUUAACCUGCUAAAUAGCCCGGCCGGCUUUGGCUGGUCGCUGGCUUCUUAGAGGGACUAUCGACGUUUAGUCGAUGGAAGUUUGAGGCAAUAACAGGUCUGUGAUGCCCUUAGAUGUUCUGGGCCGCACGCGCGCUACACUGACAGAGGCAGCGAGUUCUUUUCCUUGGCCGGAAGGCCUGGGUAAUCUUGUGAAACUCUGUCGUGAUGGGGAUAGAGCAUUGCAAUUAUUGCUCUUCAACGAGGAAUUCCUAGUAAGCGUGAGUCAUCAGCUCGCGUUGAUUACGUCCCUGCCCUUUGUACACACCGCCCGUCGCUACUACCGAUUGAAUGGCUUAGUGAGGCCUUCGGAUCGGCGUCUGGGAGCUGGCAACGGCACCCGGAUGCUGAGAAGUUGGACGAAAUUGGUCAUUUAGAGGAAGUAAAAGUCGUAACAAAGGGCGAAUUGCGGCCGCUAAUCAAUCGCCAAUGUAUCC
This 1806-nucleotide ribosomal RNA is filed under the name uncultured fungus. RNAcentral's name for it is "SSU rRNA". It matches the Rfam family "Eukaryotic small subunit ribosomal RNA". The record is from RNAcentral. Lineage: Eukaryota; Fungi.